Molecule: ribosomal RNA, 464 nt
Filed under: uncultured bacterium
Lineage: Bacteria
Description: partial 16S ribosomal RNA
Rfam family: Bacterial small subunit ribosomal RNA
Source: RNAcentral
CUACGGGGUGCACCAGUGGGGAAUAUUGCACAAUGGGCGCAAGCCUGAUGCAGCCAUGCCGCGUGUAUGAAGAAGGCCUUCGGGUUGUAAAGUACUUUCAGCGGGGAGGAAGGGAGUAAAGUUAAUACCUUUGCUCAUUGACGUUACCCGCAGAAGAAGCACCGGCUAACUCCGUGCCAGCAGCCGCGGUAACACGGAGGGUGCAAGCGUUAAUCGGAAUUACUGGGCGUAAAGCGCAAGCAGGCGGUUUGUUAAGUCAGAUGUGAAAUCCCCGGGCUCAACCUGGGAACUGCAUCUGAUACUGGCAAGCUUGAGUCUCGUAGAGGGGGGUAGAAUGCCAGGUGUAGCGGUGAAAUGCGUAGAGAUCUGGAGGAAUACCGGUGGCGAAGGCGGCCCCCUGGACGAAGACUGACGCUCAGGUGCGAAAGCGUGGGGAGCAAACAGGAUUAGAUACCCGAGUAGUC